CCUUAUUAAGAGUGGCUGAGGGAAUAGGCCCAAAGACGCCCGGCAACCUAGGUGCUUGUAAGCAUAAAAGGUGCUAAAUCCUACAGAAUCUAAAAAUUCUGAAAGAUGAGG
This 111-nucleotide non-coding RNA is filed under the name human gut metagenome. Its description in RNAcentral is "SAM riboswitch (S box leader)". It matches the Rfam family "SAM riboswitch aptamer (S box leader)". From Rfam's summary of the family: The SAM riboswitch is found upstream of a number of genes which code for proteins involved in methionine or cysteine biosynthesis in Gram-positive bacteria. The record is from RNAcentral.